This 492-nucleotide ribosomal RNA is filed under the name uncultured bacterium. RNAcentral's name for it is "partial 16S ribosomal RNA". It matches the Rfam family "Bacterial small subunit ribosomal RNA", at positions 29 to 507 of the family's 1533-position model. The record is from RNAcentral.
AGUGAACGCUGGCGGUAGGCCUAACACAUGCAAGUCGAACGGCAGCACAGUAAGAGCUUGCUCUUACGGGUGGCGAGUGGCGGACGGGUGAGGAAUACAUCGGAAUCUACUUUUUCGUGGGGGAUAACGUAGGGAAACUUACGCUAAUACCGCAUACGACCUACGGGUGAAAGCAGGGGAUCUUCGGACCUUGCGCGAUUGAAUGAGCCGAUGUCGGAUUAGCUAGUUGGCGGGGUAAAGGCCCACCAAGGCGACGAUCCGUAGCUGGUCUGAGAGGAUGAACCGCCAAACGGAAACGGAGACAGGUCCCAGACCCCUAGGGGGGGAAGCAGGGGGGAAUUUUGAACAAGGGGCGCAAGCUGGACCCACCAAUCCCGGGGGGGGAAAGAGGCCUUGCGGGUUGUAAGGCCUUUUUGUGGAAAAAAAAAAGCAGCAGGUUAAUCCCCCGCUGCUCGGACGGUCCCCAAGAAAAAAGCACCGGCAACCUUCGUG